Molecule: long non-coding RNA, 9398 nt
Filed under: Sorghum bicolor (sorghum)
Lineage: Eukaryota; Viridiplantae; Streptophyta; Magnoliopsida; Poales; Poaceae
Description: long non-coding RNA (SBIC_LNC009096)
Source: RNAcentral
CCUUAUAUGCCCCAGCAGACUUCGUGGUGAUAGAGACUGGUAAUGAUGAGCGGGCACCUAUCAUCCUAGGGAGGCCAUUCUUGAACACCUUGGGAGCUAUCAUCUAUGCUAGUGCUGCCAAGAUCAGUUUCUACAUCAAAGGGAGAAAGGAGACGUUUUCCUUCAAGAACAAGACUACACAAAUCCCUGAUCAAUCCAGACGUGAAUCAAGGAAGAGGACCAACAGGAGGAAUAGGAACAAGCAAGUGUGGACCGAGUUAGCUAGGAUGGUCACUGCAGUUCAUGGAGGUCAAGAUCAUCAACUUAAGCCACUGUGUCUGACCAAGAAGGACGACCCAGGAAUGCCAAGCAUCUAUUGCUCCAUAAAUGGAUACAACUUCUAUAAGACGACUUGCAACACCGGAUCGGGCGUCAACAUAAUGGCCGUAGUCACCUAUCGGCUCUUGUUCGGAACCAUGCCCUUAAGACCAACAUACAUUCAGCUCCAGAUGGCAGAUCAGACAUUUCGAGAAGUUAAAGGAACAGUAACUGAUGUCCCUGUCAAAAUAGAGGAUCAUUUUGUCUACACAGACUCUCAGGUUAUUGACAUGGGAGAACACGAAUACGAUUCACCCAUCAUCCUUGGAAGACCGUUCCUCAGCACCGUUAAAGCGAUCAUCUACAUUGGAAUUGGAGAAGUCCAUAUGCACUUCCCCUCAGAGAAGGUACGCCGCUAUUUUACUGACCCUAACUCUAUUGUUGAAGAAUCUAAGCAGGUCAGGAAACGAUGCAACCGCAACCAGAGGAGGCAGAUCAUCAAGGACGGAUGGGCAGACUAUGAAGGAGAAGUGGUAAGGUCAGAAGACAUACAGUUUAAACAGAAAUAUCCUGAGGAGACCGAAGCACCGAGUCAGGUGUGGAAAGAGAAGAUAACUAUACACGAAGAGGAGGCGCCGCCGGAAGUACCGACUACACCCAACGAAUUCCAGGACAAUUGAAGGAAACGGAGAGUCCCGUUCGGAGGACUUAAAAACACCGAACGCCUUGCCAAGAUGUAAACUUGGUAGUUAUCCUUUCCCUUUCAAUUAUUUCAAAUAGUUUACUUAAUUAGUUAUAAUCACACUAUCCUAAAAAGAAAAUAAAAAUGUUAAAACAGUAAGCCGGAUGUGAGUAUACGAGGCGCAUAAAACCCAUAAGUACAUUCACUGUGGUGGCAUAAAAAUAAAAUAAAUAUUUCUUUUCUUCUUUAUAAAAUAAAAAUAUAAAAAACAGGGAGUAAUAUUUAUUAAGGAGUCUCAACAUGAUAAAGGCUAGAUAUUUAUGCUAACACUUAAUCAGUUCCACAAGCUUUGUUGUCUAUUUGAGCUCCACAGAGUUUAAAAAUCAAGAAGACUAGCAGACGGAGGACAUUCUAAUCGCUGUCAGAAUGCUAUUGACUUUCAAAUACACCUCUGCCACCUGCUAGCUACAUCAAGAGAAAUUACGUCAAAAUUCAGCUUGGGGGAGAGCACCCCCAUUUAUCCCGCUAAGUAUUUCUAUCUUUAUACUUAUACUAUAUUAAAAUAUAGAUAUACAUAAUUAUGGAAAAACAAAUAAAUAUUUUAUGCUUAUAUAUAUAUGUCUUUUGCUUAGUGUGUUUAAUAAAUAAAUAAAGUGGCUAUGCUAAUCUGAAUCUUAAUAAUAAACUCUAGCAUGGAUAUGAUGAAUAGUUGCUCUGCCCAAUUUUAAAAUUUGAAGUUCUCUCUCAAGUUUAGACAUAACUGUUAUAAUUUAAAGCUUGCUCUAGACCUAAACUUGUGGGAUGAAAACUUGAUCUGAAGUCUAAGUUGUUAACGGAUAUGAUAUGGGUAGGUUGAGCUGCUGUUUAUCUGUUCCUAGAGAUGCUAGAAUUCUGGAGAAUUUUAUCUUUGAAAAUCUUUAACACAUGAUGAGUUCCUGUAUGAUGAGAGUUUAAAUUACUACCACAGCCAUAUAUACAUGCUUGCUAGACUUUGAGCCACACAUUUACUUUUUACAGCUUAUGAGCAUUGAGUGUGGUCAAGCUGUGUAGACCCUUAGGAGCUUGUCAUGUGGUUAAAUUAAGAUUCACUUGCACGUUCACUCACAUAUGCUGCUUGUACUCCGGAAGUACCAUCCACAUAUAUCCAUCCAUUUCCAUCUCCAGAAUCACCUAAAAAUAUUCUACUCCUAAUCCAGGAGAGAAUAGCCAAAAAUAUUUCUAUUUUUUCCUGUGAAAUAAAUGCUCAAGUUAUCUUGUUACUACCACUUGCUAUAUUAUCUCAAGAGAUGAGUGCUCUAAAAAAAGAGAAAAGAGAAAAAAGAUACGAGGAAAUAAAAAGGGGCAAGUGCCCGGAACCUCGAAAGAAAAGAAAAAACGAGACGAGAGGUAAAAAUGGAUAAGUGUCCGAUAGUAGAAUUAGGUGUACAAGAUACCCACGUGAGAGGAAAGAAAAAAAAUAUAGAGCAUCUCAUUCUCCUCACAAAGUUUCAAAUAGCAAAGAAGGUAUGUAUCCCCUCAAAGAGCACAGGUAGAAUUAGACUUCUGUUGACGGUCCUUAAGUAUCAAAUUUAAUUAUCAAAUAAACAAAGAAAAGGAUCCAAUUGAAAUCAACAUCUAGACUUAGGGUUUUAUCUGACAGAAUUCCACGAGUUUUGGUGUUUGUCUAUUUCUGCAGGGGGUUAUCAGGAAAUACGGAAGAAAGGCCCACACGUCGGGAUUACAUAGAGAUAUCAACGUACCGCGCAAUUAUCUUACAUCUAGAAGAUUCCAGAAGCCACGAGACCGAAGCGGAGGCGAAACGGGGCCAGAGGCAGGGCGCCCGCCCUCCUGCCCUGGGCGCCCGCCCCCUCUGGGAGUCCAAUCAGGACUCUGCUUCAUGGGAGAUCUCCACCGACCUAAAGGAUGAAUCUAAACCAUACAAUCUAUGUCGGUUUGAUCCAACGGCCCAUAUUCACUUGAAGGGACUAUAAAACCAGACCCCCUGGCCCCUGGAGGAGAGAGCCUCCCAACCCUAAUUCAUUAUUCCUCAAGGGAGAAGAAGCCUCUGAUCAAGAUUAGAGCCACCACAUCAAUUAGAUAUCUAGAUUAGCAUAGCUACAUAGGAUUAGAACUAGAAGGAGUCAAUCUUCGAUUGGUUUCUGGAUCUGUCAAGAGGAUUCUUGGUAAUUCUCUAAUUGUGCUUCUAAUUACUUUCUAAUUAUCUUUGUUCUUCAAUAUUAUGAAUAUGACUUUGUUCUAUUUCAAUAUAUUGCUUAUGACUUUGCUCUACUUGCUUAUAUUCAAGAUUAUAUUGUUCUUAGUUUAUCAUAGUUAUGUACUUGGCUUAGUUAGAUUGGAUCUAUAUACGUGCUUAGGAUCGUAUAGCGUUUAUCCAUCGGAUCCAUGGGUAAAUGAGAGAUAUUGUGUAGGCGUGGUGCUUAUACCGUAUUUAUCUGCGAUUGUACCCAAUAUGCCAGAUCGUGGGGUUGUUCGUGAUAGUGACAGCUUCAUUGAUUCUUAUAUAGUCCCCCUCUCGUGUAUUGGGCUGGCAGAGCAACAUUAUUACAGGGGAGUGAUUGCUAUGUUUCUCAUUUACCUUGCUAAUAUCACUAUGCAUGGGCGUAGUCUUGUCUCGCAAUGAUUGCUAACUAUGCUUGCACUAACUAUGAUAAUGCUAGACUAUAUAGUUGAGAAUAACUUAGGGAAUAUUCUUGUAGUUCAUUCUAAUACCAUGCUAAUGACUUUCUAGAGUAUCUAAUUGAGGUGCUUAUCAUAUUUAUUAUGUGGUUAGUUAUGAUCAGAUUAAUUAUCUUUGUCACUAUUCAUUACUUCAUAUAUCUUUUAUGUGCCACUUACCCCUGUAUGAAAGAGUUAGAUAAUUGUUCUCAAUUACAUUUGCAAUGAUAGAUACUCAAUCGCAUAUUCUAUUCUGUAAUCAAUGUUGAUGAUUGCUAAUCCCUUCCCAGUGGUAAAAAUAUAAAUAACGAUACCUGGAAUACUUCCCGGUUAAAAUGCUGCAUCGGUAUUAAUCUGUGCGCUUGCAGAUCCCAUUCAUUAUUUAUUUAGAAGAGCAAUUGCAUAUUUCAAUACCGCGUCUUUUAUAUCAUGCCGGGGAUGACAACUUGGCUUAAGUGGUGUGAGGGAUAGGUUUGGCAUUUUUGGCACCGUUACUAGAUUUAGAGAACUUAGUCUACUUUUGGUAAUGAUGUUAAGAAUGCCCAACAAGCAUUUUUGGCGCCGUUGCCGGGGAAGGUUGAUUACUAAUCAGGAAUGGAAUAAAAGAUUUUGAGUCAUCAUUCGCAUUACUAAUAUGAUUGAGCUUAUCUAUUCUCUCAUACAGUUUUACCCCGAUAUUUUUCUAUUUUAUCUUAUGCAGGGGAAUGUAUGAAUAGAAGACAUCUUCUAGGAAAUUUUGUUGACAAUCCCAAAGCAUUAUUCAAGAAGACGAGAGCCAAGCUCAAGAAGAGAUCAUCAACACUUCAGCAAGAAGCUUCAUCCAAUCAAGAAGAUCACCGGAACUUGUCUUCAGAGUUCGUGGCCAUGGCGAACAAAUCAAUCCGCGAGUUCUCAGCUCCCACUACGGACAACAUCCGCACUGGACCUGCUGCAGAGAUCGAUGGCAACUUUGAGCUCAAGCCUGGACUUAUCAACAUGGUGCAAUCCAACCAGUUCUGUGGGAAGGCACACGAAGAUGCUAGUGCUCAUUUACAACACUUCCUGGAGAUUUGCAACACAUUCACCAUAUCAGGAGUUUCCAAAGAUGCUAUACUACUUCGCCUCUUCCCAUUCUCACUGUUAGGCAGAGCGAAGCAGUGGUUCUACGCUACAAAGGAGAAGAAUACUACGUGGGCACUCUGCUCAACAAACUUCCUGGCUAAGUUCUUUCCCAUGGACAAGACCAAUGCUCUCCGUGGGAAGAUUACAAGUAGCAACAAAAUGAUGAAUCUGUUCCAGAAGCAUGGGAGCGCUUUCAAGACUACAUCCUAGAAUGUCCCCAUCAUGGAAUGGAGAGUUCGCUAUUGAUGCAGACAUUUUAUCAUGGACUCGGCAACAGUGCCCGAGAAACCAUGGAUGCUGCAGCUGGAGGAGCAUUCUUAUCACUUACUAUACCACAAGCCACAGCUCUUGUGGAGAAGAUGGCGUCCAAUCAAAGCUAGAAUGAAGAGAGGACCCAGACACGCAAGAGAGGUGGAGGUAUGCAUCAGCUGAAGGAGGUAGACAUGCUGUCUGCAAAGCUAGACCUGCUCAUGAAGAAGCUCGAUGAAAGAGCUGGAGACAAGAAAGAAGUUAUGCACAUCUACGACUCUCACAUGACUUGUGAGGAGUGUGGAGACAAUGGACACUCAGGCAAUCACUGCCCAGAGAUACUUGAGGAUGUAAACUACAUCAACAACAACAACAACUACUACAACCGUCCUCAACAAAAUCAAGGUUGGAAUCAACAGAGGCCUAACUACUCAGGUAAUUAUCAAGGUAACAAUUCUUACAACAAUAAUAAUAAUUUUCCACCUUUGAGAGAGUUAGUGUCUAAUCAAGGAAAGCUAAUGGAUAACCUAUCUAAGAAAUUGGCAUCUAAUGAUAAAAUGCUAGAAAAUAUAAAUAAUAGAAUGGAUAAUUUCUCUACUGCCAUCAAGAAUCAAAUUAGCUUUAAUAAAAUGAUUGAAUCUCAGUUAAAUCAAAUAGUUGCUGCUGUUCCCGUUACUAACCCCGGUAUACCAUCACAACUGGAAGGAUUAGAAUCUGCAAAUCUUGUAGACAUGUUUGAUGCAGGUAAUAAUUGGAGUAACCCCGUCACUGAAUUCAAUAUUGACCUUCUGCCGGUCAAGAGAGGCGAUCCAGGAUGCCCCGUCAUCCCGAUCUCCAUCGGCAUGGUGGACGUUCCAGAAGCACUCUGCGACUUUGGCUCUAGUGUCAACAUUAUACCUAGGGUACUCUAUGAAAAAUUCUUUACAUAUCCUUUAUUAGAAACAACCAUGUGUUUGCAGUUUGCAGAUCAGAUGAUAACUUUUCCACAAGGAAUAAUGAAGAACCUCUGUGUCCGAGUGGGUACCUUGUAUGCCCUAGCAGACUUCGUAGUGGUAGAGACCGAAAAUGAUGAGAAAGCACCUAUCAUCCUAGGGAGGCCAUUCUUGAACACCACGGGAGCUAUCAUCUACGCUAGAGCUGCCAAGAUCAGUUUCUACGUCAAAGGGAGGAAGGAGACAUUUUUCUUCAAGAACAAGAUUACACAAAUUCCAAAUCAAUCCAGACAAGAAUCAAGGAAGAGGGCCAACAGGAGGAACAGGAACAAGCAAGUGUGGACCGAGUCAGCUAAGAUGGUCACUGUAGUUCAUGGAGGCCAAGAUCACCAACUUAAGUCACCGCUUUUGACCAAGAAGGACGACCCAGGAAUGCCAAGCAUCUACUGCUCCAUAAAUGGAUACAACUUCUACAAGACGGCUUGCGACACCGGAUCGGGCGUCAACAUAAUGGCCGCAGUCACCUAUCGGCUCUUGUUCUAAACCAUGCCACUAAGACCAACAUACAUUCAGCUCCAGAUGGCAGAUCAGACAUUUCGAGAAGUUAAAGGAAUAGUAACUGAUGUCCCAGUCAAAGUAGACGACCAUUUUGUCUACACAGACUUUCAGGUUAUUGACAUGGGAGAAGAUGAGUAUGAUCCACCCAUCAUCCUUGGAAGACUGUUCCUCAGCACCGUUAAAGCAAUCAUCUACAUUGGAACCGGAGAAGUCCAUAUGCACUUCCCCUCAGAGAAGGUACGUCGUUACUUUACUGACCCUAACUAUAUCGUUGAAGAAUCUAAGCAGGUAAGGAAACGACGCAACCGCAACCAGAGGAUGCAAAUCAUCAAGGACGGAUGGGCAGACUACGAAGGAGAAGUUAUGAGGUCAGAAGAUGUAGAGUUUAAACAGAAUUAUCCAGAGGAGAUUGAAGCACCGAGUCAGGUAUGGAAAAUGAAGAUAACUAUACAUGAAGAGGAUGCGCCGCCGGAAGUACCGACUACGCCACCCAACGAACCUCAGAACAAUUAAGAAAAUGGAGAGUCCCGUUCGGAAGACUUAAAAACACCGAGCGCCUUGCCAAGAGGUAAACUUGGUAGUUAUCCUUUCCCUUUCAAUUAUUUUAAAUAGUUUACUUAGUUAAUCAUGUUCAUACUAUCUUAAAAAGAAAAUAAAAAUAUAUAAAAAAAAGUAAGGCCCAUGUGAGUAUACGAGUGGCAUAAAACCCAUAAGUACAUUCACUGUGGUGGCAUAAAAAUAAAAUAAAUAUUUCUUUUCUGCUUUAUAAAAUGAAAAUAUAAAAACAGGGAGUAAUAAUUAUUAAGGAGUCUCAACAUGAUAAAGGCUAGAUAUUUAUGCUAACACUUAAUCAGUUCCACAAGGUUUGUUGUCUAUUUGAGCUCCACAGAAUUUAGGAAUCAAGAAGACUAGCAGACGGAGGACAUUCUAAUCGCUGUCAGAAUGCUGUUGACUUUCAAAUACACCUCUGUCACCUGCUAGCUACAUCAAGAGAAAUUACGUCAAAAUUCAGCUUGGGGGAGACCACCCCCAUUUAUCUCGAUAGGUAUAUCUAUCUAUCUUUAUACUUAUAUUAUUUUAGAAUAUAAAUAUACAUAACUAUGGAAAAACCAAAUAAAGAUUUUAUGCUUAUAUAUAUAUAUGUCUUUUGCUUAGUGUGAUUAAUAAAUAAAUAAAGUAUCUAUGCUAAUCUGUAUCUUAAUAAUAAAACUUAAGCAUGGAUAUGAUGAAUAGUUGCUCUGCCUAAUUUGCACAUUUUAAGUUCUCUCUCAAGUUUAGACAUAACUGUUAAAAUUUAAAUCUUGCUCUAGACCUAAACUUGUGGGAUGAAAAAACUUGAUCUGAAGUCUAAGUUGUUAACGGAUACGAUAUGGGAAGGUUGAGCUGCUUUUUAUCUGUUCCUAGAUAUGCUAGAAUUCUGGAGAAUUUUAUCUUUGAAAAUCUUUAAAAUGUUGCAUGAUGAGUUCCUAUAUGAUGAGAGUUUAAAUUCCUACCACAGCCAUAUAUACAUGCUUGCUAGACUUUGAGCCACACAUUUACUAUUUACUGCUUAUGAGCAUUGAGUGUGGUCAAGCUGUGUAGACCCUUAGGAGCUUGUCAUGUGGUUAAAUCAAGAUUCACUUACACGUUCACUCAUAUAUGCUACUUCUAUUCCGGAAGUACCAUCCACAUAUAUCCAUCCAUUUCCAUCUCCAGAAUCACCCAAAAAUAUUCUACUCCUAAUCCGGGAGAGAAUAGCCAAAAAUAUCUCUGUUUUUCCCUUGUGAAAUAAAUGCUCAAGUUAUCUUGUUACUACCACUUGCUAUAUUAUCUCAAGAGAUGAGUGCUCUAAAAAAAAGAGAAAAAAAAUAAAUACGAGGAAAUAAAAAGGAGCAAGUGCUCGGAACCUCGAAAGAAAAGAAAGAGUGAGACGAGAGGUAAAAAUGGACAAGUGUCCGACAGUAGAAUUAGGGGUACAAGAUACCCACCUGAGAGAAAAGAAAAAGAAGAGCAUCUCAUUCUCCUCAUAAAGUUUCAAAAAGCAAGAAAGGUAUGUAUCCCCUAAAAGAGCAAAAGUAGAAUUAGACUUUCACCAUUGUUAUCACCAUCAUCACCAUACACCAUUCAUUUGCCACACAUGCACAUCUUGAUUAAACUUAUUGAUUUGUUUCUUUGGAUCCAUGGUUUGACUAUGCAGUAAAUGUCUUGUAAGCAUGUAUACUUUAUCUCCCACCUAUGAGCUCCAGAUAUUAAAGCCUUAUUAGAGUAGGGUGAGAGAGAAGGCAAUGUCACUAUGCUUCAUACCACAAAUACUACAUAUCUUGAGAGAAGGCAUAUACCAUCACUGCCUUGAUAAGGAUCUAGAAAUACUACAAAAGAGAGAUCUGAGAGAAUCAUACAAGGAAUCUCUGAGUUUUAUUUGAAAAUCUGCAAAAAGCACCAGAGCUAUAGCUGAUCAAGAAUAAGAGACAUGGCACUAGACUAGACUGUUCUAUCUUUUAACCACCCAAGACAGAAGUGACAGUUACAAGUCCCAUGGUGAAGGUAAAGUAAGUAAGUUUUAAGUCUUGACAGUUUACUCUAACUCAGAGAUAAGAUCUUAUUUAAAAAGCAUGUGUACCGUCAAUUUUUAAAGAUAUUGCAACAACUUAUGAUCCAUAGCUGAGUCUAUCCUUGCUCAGGGACGAGCAAGAGGUAAGCUUGGGGGAGUUUGUUGACGGUCCUUAAGUAUCAAAUUUAAUUAUCAAAUAAACACAGAAAAGGAUCCAAUUGAAAUCAACAUCUAGACCUAGGGUUUUAUCUCACAGAAUUCCACGAGUUUUGGUGUUUGUCUAUUUCUGCAGCGGGUUAUCAGGAAAUACGGAAGAAAGGCCCACACGUCGGGAUUACAUAGAGAUAUCAACGUGCCGCGCAAUUAUAUACAUCUAGAAGACUCCAGAAGCCAC